GAUGAACGCUGACAGAAUGCUUAACACAUGCAAGUCAACUUGAAUUUGGGUUUUUAACUUAGAUUUGGGUGGCGGACGGGUGAGUAACGCGUAAAGAACUUGCCUCACAGUUAGGGACAACAUUUAGAAAUGAAUGCUAAUACCUGAUAUUAUGAUUUUAAGGCAUCUUAGAAUUAUGAAAGCUAUAAGCACUGUGAGAGAGCUUUGCGUCCCAUUAGCUAGUUGGAGAGGUAACAGCUCACCAAGGCGAUGAUGGGUAGCCGGCCUGAGAGGGUGGACGGCCACAAGGGGACUGAGACACGGCCCUUACUCCUACGGGAGGCAGCAGUGGGGAAUAUUGGACAAUGGACCGAGAGUCUGAUCCAGCAAUUCUGUGUGCACGAUGAAGUUUUUCGGAAUGUAAAGUGCUUUCAGUUGGGAAGAAAUAAAUGACGGUACCAACAGAAGAAGUGACGGCUAAAUACGUGCCAGCAGCCGCGGUAAUACGUAUGUCACGAGCGUUAUCCGGAUUUAUUGGGCGUAAAGCGCGUCUAGGUGGUUAUGUAAGUCUGAUGUGAAAAUGCAGGGCUCAACUCUGUAUUGCGUUGGAAACUGUAUAACUAGAGUACUGGAGAGGUAAGCGGAACUACAAGUGUAGAGGUGAAAUUCGUAGAUAUUUGUAGGAAUGCCGAUGGGGAAGCCAGCUUACUGGACAGAUACUGACGCUAAAGCGCGAAAGCGUGGGUAGCAAACAGG
Molecule: ribosomal RNA, 735 nt
Filed under: uncultured Fusobacterium sp.
Lineage: Bacteria; Fusobacteriati; Fusobacteriota; Fusobacteriia; Fusobacteriales; Fusobacteriaceae
Description: bacterial SSU rRNA
Rfam family: Bacterial small subunit ribosomal RNA
Source: RNAcentral